Molecule: ribosomal RNA, 492 nt
Filed under: uncultured bacterium
Lineage: Bacteria
Description: partial 16S ribosomal RNA
Rfam family: Bacterial small subunit ribosomal RNA
Source: RNAcentral
AGUGAACGCUGGCGGUAGGCCUAACACAUGCAAGUCGAACGGCAGCACAGUAAGAGCUUGCUCUUACGGGUGGCGAGUGGCGGACGGGUGAGGAAUACAUCGGAAUCUACUUUUUCGUGGGGGAUAACGUAGGGAAACUUACGCUAAUACCGCAUACGACCUACGGGUGAAAGCAGGGGAUCUUCGGACCUUGCGCGAUUGAAUGAGCCGAUGUCGGAUUAGCUAGUGGGCGGGGUAAAGGCCCACCAAGGCGACGACCCGUAGAUGGUCUGAGAGGAUUGUCAGCCACACUUGAAAUGAAACACGGUCCAGACUCCUACGGGAGGCAGCAGUGGGGAAUAUUGGACAAUGGGCGCAAGCCUGAUCCAGCCAUACCGCGUGGGUGAAGAAGGCCUUCGGGUUGUAAAGCCCUUUUGUUGGGAAAGAAAAGCAGCAGGUUAAUACCCCGCUGUUCUGACGGUACCCAAAGAAUAAGCACCGGCUAACUUCGUG